GAUGAACGCUGGCGGCGUGCCUAAUACAUGCAAGUCGAGCGAACAGACGAGGAGCUUGCUCCUCUGACGUUAGCGGCGGACGGGUGAGUAACACGUGGAUAACCUACCUAUAAGACUGGGAUAACUUCGGGAAACCGGAGCUAAUACCGGAUAAUAUAUUGAACCGCAUGGUUCAAUAGUGAAAGACGGUUUUGCUGUCACUUAUAGAUGGAUCCGCGCCGCAUUAGCUAGUUGGUAAGGUAUCGGCUUACCAAGGCAACGAUGCGUAGCCGACCUGAGAGGGUGAUCGGCCACACUGGAACUGAGACACGGUCCAGACUCCUACGGGAGGCAGCAGUAGGGAAUCUUCCGCAAUGGGCGAAAGCCUGACGGAGCAACGCCGCGUGAGUGAUGAAGGUCUUCGGAUCGUAAAACUCUGUUAUUAGGGAAGAACAAAUGUGUAAGAAACUAUGCACGUCUUGACGGUACCUAAUCAGAAAGCCACGGCUAACUACGUG
RNAcentral lists this ribosomal RNA (497 nucleotides) under uncultured bacterium. RNAcentral's name for it is "partial 16S ribosomal RNA". It matches the Rfam family "Bacterial small subunit ribosomal RNA", at positions 28 to 507 of the family's 1533-position model. The record is from RNAcentral.